Molecule: transfer RNA, 71 nt
Filed under: Loxodonta africana (African savanna elephant)
Lineage: Eukaryota; Metazoa; Chordata; Mammalia; Proboscidea; Elephantidae
Rfam family: tRNA
About the family: Transfer RNA (tRNA) molecules are approximately 80 nucleotides in length. Their secondary structure includes four short double-helical elements and three loops (D, anti-codon, and T loops). Further hydrogen bonds mediate the characteristic L-shaped molecular structure. tRNAs have two regions of fundamental functional importance: the anti-codon, which is responsible for specific mRNA codon recognition, and the 3' end, to which the tRNAs corresponding amino acid is attached (by aminoacyl-tRNA synthetases). tRNAs cope with the degeneracy of the genetic code in two manners: having more than one tRNA (with a specific anti-codon) for a particular amino acid; and 'wobble' base-pairing, i.e. permitting non-standard base-pairing at the 3rd anti-codon position.
Source: Rfam by way of RNAcentral
GCAGUGGUGGUUCAGUGGUAGAAUUUUCCCCUUCCAUGUGAGAGGCCCAGGUCUGAUUCCUGACCAAUGCA